AUUCCAUGUUGAGGACACCUCUUGAGUGAUCCUUUGAAUCGUUCCCAAGCCUCAUAUAAAGAUUCACUUUCUUUUUGUUUGAAAGUCGUGAUCUCCGCUUUGAGUCU
Gastrolobium bilobum is the source of this 107-nucleotide small nucleolar RNA. The record is from RefSeq and is a predicted model, not a curated record. NCBI's taxonomy places the organism in Eukaryota, Viridiplantae, Streptophyta, Magnoliopsida, Fabales, Fabaceae.